This 497-nucleotide ribosomal RNA is filed under the name Arnoglossus imperialis (imperial scaldfish). RNAcentral's name for it is "partial 16S ribosomal RNA". It matches the Rfam family "Bacterial large subunit ribosomal RNA", at positions 1857 to 2558 of the family's 2925-position model. The record is from RNAcentral. Lineage: Eukaryota; Metazoa; Chordata; Actinopteri; Pleuronectiformes; Bothidae.
ACCUGCCCAGUGACACUAUGUUUAACGGCCGCGGUAUUUUAACCGUGCUAAGGUAGCGCAAUCACUUGUCUUUUAAAUGAAGACCUGUAUGAAAGGUAUAACGAGGGCUUAACUGUCUCCUUUUUCCAGUCAAUGAAAUUGAUCUCCCCGUGCAGAAGCGGGGAUUUUUACAUAAGACGAGAAGACCCUGUGGAGCUUUAGACCCCGGGGCAGCUCAUGUUAAGAAACCCGACCAAGGAAAUAACUAAAUGAGCCCUCCCCCUGUGUCUUCGGUUGGGGUGACCAUGGGGUAAACACAACCCCCAUGUAGACAGGGAGCACUCCUCGAAACAAGAGCCCCAGCUCUAGUUAACGAAAAAUUCGACUUAAAAUGAUCCGGGUAAACCGAUCAACGAACCAAGUUACCCCAGGGAUAACAGCGCCAUCCCCUUCAAAAGCCCAUAUCACCAAGGGGGUUUACGACCUCGAUGUUGGAUCAGGACAUCCUAAUGGUGCAG